This 21-nucleotide microRNA is filed under the name Monodelphis domestica (gray short-tailed opossum). RNAcentral's name for it is "mdo-miR-12327-3p". Lineage: Eukaryota; Metazoa; Chordata; Mammalia; Didelphimorphia; Didelphidae. The record is from miRBase by way of RNAcentral.
UUUCUCUCUUUCCCUCCUCAG